GCAAUAAUAACGGCAAAAAUAAUAGUAGUACAGUCAUUAACAACUAUAACAAAAACGAUAAUAACAACAAAAACGAUAAUAACAACAAAAACGAUAACAACAAAAACGAAAAUAACAACAACAUUCAUUUAAAAAAGCUACACAAUAGUCACUAUGCGAAACUAAAAGAAAAUGAUCGACUUCACAAAGAAGGUACAAGUAAUUUAAAUAAUUGUGUACAUAAAAGAAUGAACAUUUUAGAUGAUAAAAAAAAAAGAAAAGUAGAAAGUUUUGAAAAUGUGAAUGAUGUAAAAAAUGAACAUACAAGUAAAUUAAAUAGAUUGUUACAAUGGAGAUUAGGUGAUAAUAGUAGAAGUGAUGGCGAAAGGAAACAGAAAGACAUGGGAAACACGAAGAAAGCUUUCAUUAAUCAAAGAAAAUGGAAAGAUAUUAAGGAAAUAAAAAAUAAAAAUAAAACAUCACUUGAUUCUUCAACAUUUUUAAAUAACAACAAUAUUAUUAAAAAAAACAGUUCAGAAAAAAUAACAGAUGGUAAUGAAGUAAAAAUGAACAAAGAUAUUAUGAACGAAAUAAAAAAAAAAUAUGAAAAUGUUAUUAAAAGAGUCCAAAAAAAUGUUAAUUAUACAGUAGGCAAUACUACUGCUUCAGCUGAUAUUGCUACUGCUUCUAACACUAACACUAACAAAAGCAACAAUAAUAUUACUAACAGUUCCUUAUUAUUUAAUAGACAAUCAGAAGAUAUGAACGAUAGAAUAAAAAAAAGGUUGGACAUGAUAGAACAAUGUUUAAAAGAAGAUAGAAUGAAAAUAGACGAAGAAAAUAAAAUAAGAAAAGAAAUAGAUUUAAAAAGAAAAGCGUAUGAAUUGAAAAUACGAAAAGAGUUUGAAAAAAAAAUAAAAAUGAGAAUUGAAUUAAAUGAAAAAAAAGUGAUGGAAGAAAAACAAAAUAAAUUAGCUGACGUAAAAGUGAUUAGACAAAAUGAUGCUCCUGCGAAUGUAAUAAAUGAGCCGCAGCAAGAUGAUGUUAAAAAGAAUAAACAGGAAUUACAAACAGAACAUAAGGAUGUGAAAAAUAUAA
This 1077-nucleotide long non-coding RNA is filed under the name Piliocolobus tephrosceles (Ugandan red Colobus). Its description in RNAcentral is "lncRNA (ENSPTEG00000007535.1)". Lineage: Eukaryota; Metazoa; Chordata; Mammalia; Primates; Cercopithecidae. The record is from RNAcentral.